RNAcentral lists this unclassified non-coding RNA (336 nucleotides) under soil metagenome. RNAcentral describes it as "partial contains 5.8S ribosomal RNA, internal transcribed spacer 2, and large subunit ribosomal RNA". The stretch from base 1 to 120 matches the Rfam family "5.8S ribosomal RNA", at positions 35 to 154 of the family's 154-position model. The record is from RNAcentral.
GAUGAAGAACGCAGCGAAAUGCGAUAAGUAAUGCGAAUUGCAGAAUCCGUGAGUCAUCGAAUCUUUGAACGCACAUUGCGCCCCUUGGUUAUUCCGAAGGGCAUGCCUGUUCGAGCGUCAUUUCAACCAUCAAGCCCCCGGCUUGUGUUGGGGACCUGCGGCUGCCGCAGGCCCUGAAAAGCAGUGGCGGGCUCGCUGUCACACCGAGCGUAGUAGCAUACAUCUCGCUCUGGGCGUGCUGCGGGUUCCGGCCGUUAAACCACCUUCAUAACCCAAGGUUGACCUCGGAUCAGGUAGGAAGACCCGCUGAACUUAAGCAUAUCAAUAAGCGGAGGA